Zonotrichia leucophrys gambelii is the source of this 516-nucleotide long non-coding RNA. RefSeq lists it as uncharacterized. The transcript is spliced from 3 exons. The record is from RefSeq and is a predicted model, not a curated record. NCBI's taxonomy places the organism in Eukaryota, Metazoa, Chordata, Aves, Passeriformes, Passerellidae.
CAAUUAUGUUCCCCAGCUUCCAAGAAACAGCUAACCACAAGGAUGAAACUUGUGUGGGAGGAAGAGGGAGCACGCUUGGCAGCUGACCUCAGAUGCAGGAGUCGCUGCCACAGGAGGACAGAAUUCACUCUGUAUUCAAGCGGAGCACAUCGGUGCUGUAUGUGAAUUCUAAAUCAGCAUUAAGGAGUGGCUCUUUCCCAGUGUAACCAUCGCUCCUUACAGGCCUCCUGCAAGAGAGAAGAACAUGAGUGCCUCAGAGACAAAAAUCUCCAUGCUCCAGCAGGUCCAGAUAACCAGGAGUUGGACUGGCACAGGACACAGCCACAAUGUCAGCUAAAUGGGAUUGCUGCCUGCAUAGAUUUGGCCUUUAGAAAUGUUUGAAUGAACACAAGAAAAAGGGAAUUAAAUUAUAUAAACCAUUUAAUAUCUGUUAUAUUUUUUGACUUUUAAAAAGUAAAAAAUGUGUUCUUCUACCAUUCACAGGUCAUCUCAUUUUGCAUGAAGAUUUAUCAAAUA